Xenia sp. Carnegie-2017 is the source of this 495-nucleotide long non-coding RNA. RefSeq lists it as uncharacterized. The transcript is spliced from 2 exons. Lineage: Eukaryota; Metazoa; Cnidaria; Anthozoa; Malacalcyonacea; Xeniidae. The record is from RefSeq and is a predicted model, not a curated record.
GUUCCAGAUUCUACUUCAGAUGCUUACAGAAAGCAGAAAGCAGAAAGAAUACACCAGUCGACUAAUGGUACCCAGUCGACUGAUUGUGGUCAAUGUAAAGAACGAAGUAUAAAGGACGAAGCAUAUUACAGGAGUGGAUACUUAGUGGAAGGGUAUUAUUUAAUGUAAAUUACAUUUUUAAUGAGACAUUCGAUUGGCUUUUUAUUAUUGAAUUAGAGUAUAACAGUGAAAUAUGAAAGUUUUGAAUGGCACAACCUUGCAUCAUAGUUGAUGAAAGGAACAAUUAUUCAUAGAAAAUAUAACAUUGAGUUACAAAUUUUACCCAGUAAUGUAUGUAUAUAUCGCAAACUGUAUCAAUUACAACAUAAUAUAGCAAGUAUUUAACUUAUACGUAGUGGGAUAAGUCUUCACACAUACAUAUAAUAGUCCACCAAAUUUUAAACAUGCUUGUAUUUAACUAUUUAAUGUUUCACUAAAUCUGUAAAUGGCAACCUA